Molecule: ribosomal RNA, 497 nt
Filed under: uncultured bacterium
Lineage: Bacteria
Description: partial 16S ribosomal RNA
Rfam family: Bacterial small subunit ribosomal RNA
Source: RNAcentral
GAUGAACGCUGGCGGCGUGCCUAAUACAUGCAAGUCGAGCGAACAGACGAGGAGCUUGCUCCUCUGACGUUAGCGGCGGACGGGUGAGUAACACGUGGAUAACCUACCUAUAAGACUGGGAUAACUUCGGGAAACCGGAGCUAAUACCGGAUAAUAUAUUGAACCGCAUGGUUCAAUAGUGAAAGACGGUUUUGCUGUCACUUAUAGAUGGAUCCGCGCCGGAUUAGCUAGUUGGUAAGGUAACGGCUUACCAAGGCAACGAUGCGUAGCCGACCUGAGAGGGUGAUCGGCCACACUGGAACUGAGACACCGUCCAGACUCCUACGGGAGGCAGCAGUAGGGAAUCUUCCGCAAUGGUCGAAAGCCUGACGGAGCAACGCCGCGUGAGUGAUGAAGGUCUUCGGAUCGUAAAGCCCUGUUAUUAGGGAAGAACAAAUGUGUAAGUAACUAUGCACGUCUUGACGGUACCUAAUCAAAAAGCCACGGCUAACUACGUG